RNAcentral lists this ribosomal RNA (301 nucleotides) under uncultured bacterium. RNAcentral describes it as "partial 16S ribosomal RNA". It matches the Rfam family "Bacterial small subunit ribosomal RNA", at positions 509 to 809 of the family's 1533-position model. The record is from RNAcentral.
CAGCCGCCGCGGUAAUACGGAGGGUGCAAGCGUUAAUCGGAAUUACUGGGCGUAAAGCGUGCGCAGGCGGUGUUGUAAGACUGAUGUGAAAUCCCCGGGCUCAACCUGGGAACUGCAUUGGUGACUGCAACGCUGGAGUGCGGCAGAGGGGGAUGGAAUUCCGCGUGUAGCAGUGAAAUGCGUAGAUAUGCGGAGGAACACCGAUGGCGAAGGCAAUCCCCUGGGCCUGCACUGACGCUCAUGCACGAAAGCGUGGGGAGCAAACAGGAUUAGAUACCCGCGUAGUCCCUGUCUCUUAUAA